UCAGUCUCAGGCUCGUGGCUUGAGCUUAUGUGGCCCCUGUGGGCGGCCUUUGGGGUCCGCUCACCCCGACGAAGUGCACUCGGUUUCACGUGAGGGACUGCGCCUGUGCCCCGGGGGCGGCCCGAGGGGGCCCAGGCUGCGUCCUGAAUUAGGAUCCCAUCUGUGCACGUCAAUAGAGGAUAUGGCAGCCCUGGGGGCAAUCCAAGAACCACUCUCUGCUUCAGCCCACAUCAACUUCCCAUCACCUGGAUCCCAUCCAGGACCUCCUCAUCAUGAAAUGCUACUGCACCUCCAGGAUCCCCAAUACGGUACUCAUUCUACCCCAGCCCACUCCCAGAACUUUAUGUCCCUCUUCUUCAGCCAGAUCCUUCAAUAGAGAUCCCUUCAUAAAGUCCUUGAACAGAUUUUGAUUAAAAAUUGUAGAGGCAAAUUGAACUUUUCUUCUCACUGCAGAAUUAUCUACUUUUUGUUAGUUUGCCAUUUUUGAUGAUAAUAAUUUUUUUGUUUAUUAUAGGAACUGAAAUAAGGAUACUUGUAAAUUAGAGUUGUUCUAAUUUUUAAUAAAUUUAUUUUAAAAUA
This is a long non-coding RNA of Gracilinanus agilis (Agile Gracile Mouse Opossum), 579 nucleotides long. RefSeq lists it as uncharacterized. NCBI's taxonomy places the organism in Eukaryota, Metazoa, Chordata, Mammalia, Didelphimorphia, Didelphidae. The transcript has 2 exons. The record is from RefSeq and is a predicted model, not a curated record.